AUUGAACGCUGGCGGCAUGCUUUACACAUGCAAGUCGAACGGUAACAGGGUGCUUGCACCGCUGACGAGUGGCGAACGGGUGAGUAAUGCGUCGGAACGUGCCGAGUAGUGGGGGAUAACGCAGCGAAAGUUGUGCUAAUACCGCAUACGUACUGAGGUAGAAAGUGGGGGACCUUCGGGCCUCACGCUAUUCGAGCGGCCGACGUCUGAUUAGCUAGUAGGUGAGGUAAAGGCUCACCUAGGCGACGAUCAGUAGCGGGUCUGAGAGGAUGAUCCGCCACACUGGGACUGAGACACGGCCCAGACUCCUACGGGAGGCAGCAGUGGGGAAUUUUGGACAAUGGGCGAAAGCCUGAUCCAGCCAUGCCGCGUGUCUGAAGAAGGCCCUCGGGUUGUAAAGGACUUUUGUCAGGGAGGAAAUCCCUAGUGCUAAUAACACUGGGGGAUGACAGUACCGACAGAAUAAGCACCGGCUAACUUCGUGCCAGCAGCCGCCGUAA
This 500-nucleotide ribosomal RNA is filed under the name uncultured bacterium. RNAcentral describes it as "partial 16S ribosomal RNA". It matches the Rfam family "Bacterial small subunit ribosomal RNA", at positions 30 to 523 of the family's 1533-position model. The record is from RNAcentral.